UGUACACACCGCCCGUCACACCACGAGAGUUUGUAACACCCGAAGCCGGUGGAGUAACCUUUUAGGAGCUAGCCGUCGAAGGUGGGACAAAUGAUUGGGGUGAAGUCGUAACAAGGUAGCCGUAUCGGAAGGUGCGGCUGGAUCACCUCCUUUCUAAGGA
RNAcentral lists this ribosomal RNA (160 nucleotides) under Staphylococcus aureus. RNAcentral's name for it is "partial 16S ribosomal RNA". It matches the Rfam family "Bacterial small subunit ribosomal RNA", at positions 1382 to 1533 of the family's 1533-position model. The record is from RNAcentral. Lineage: Bacteria; Bacillati; Bacillota; Bacilli; Caryophanales; Staphylococcaceae.